UACGUAGGUGGCAAGCGUUGUCCGGAUUUACUGGGCGUAAAGGGCGCGUAGGCGGCUUUGUAAGUCGGGGGUGAAAGCCUGUGGCUCAACCACAGAAUUGCCUUCGAUACUGCAUGGCUUGAGACCGGAAGAGGUAAGUGGAACUGCGAGUGUAGAGGUGAAAUUCGUAGAUAUUCGCAAGAACACCAGUGGCGAAGGCGGCUUACUGGUCCGGUUCUGACGCUGAGGCGCGAAAGCGUGGGGAGCAAACAGG
RNAcentral lists this ribosomal RNA (253 nucleotides) under uncultured bacterium. RNAcentral's name for it is "partial 16S ribosomal RNA". It matches the Rfam family "Bacterial small subunit ribosomal RNA", at positions 524 to 776 of the family's 1533-position model. The record is from RNAcentral.